GAUGAACGCUAGCGGCAGGCUUAACACAUGCAAGUCGAACGGUGACGAGGAGCUUGCUCCUCCGAUCAGUGGCGAACGGGUGAGUAACACGUGAGUAACCUGCCCCAGACUCUGGGAUAACAGUUGGAAACAGCUGCUAAUACCGGAUACGAGACGGAGAGGCAUCUCUACCGUCUGGAAAGUUUUUCGGUCUGGGAUGGACUCGCGGCCUAUCAGCUUGUUGGUGAGGUAAUGGCUCACCAAGGCGACGACGGGUAGCCGGCCUGAGAGGGCGACCGGCCACACUGGGACUGAGACACGGCCCAGACUCCUACGGGAGGCAGCAGUGGGGAAUAUUGCACAAUGGGCGAAAGCCUGAUGCAGCGACGCCGCGUGAGGGAUGACGGCCUUCGGUUGUAACCUCUUCUAGCAGGAAGAAGCGAAAGUGACGGUACCUGCAGAAGAAGCACCGGCUAACUACGUGCCAGCAGCGCGGUAGCU
RNAcentral lists this ribosomal RNA (480 nucleotides) under uncultured bacterium. Its description in RNAcentral is "bacterial SSU rRNA". It matches the Rfam family "Bacterial small subunit ribosomal RNA", at positions 28 to 525 of the family's 1533-position model. The record is from RNAcentral.